Long non-coding RNA from Oncorhynchus gorbuscha (pink salmon), 2392 nucleotides. RefSeq lists it as uncharacterized. The transcript is spliced from 14 exons. NCBI's taxonomy places the organism in Eukaryota, Metazoa, Chordata, Actinopteri, Salmoniformes, Salmonidae. The record is from RefSeq and is a predicted model, not a curated record.
CGUGAACCCUGUCAACAUUGAGUUGUUCAAUUUCGCCGGAGCUCCUCAAAAUCUGACUAAACGCUUUACUGAGCUUAUCUUCCUGCAGAACUCCAACUUCCUCCCACUGCAGCUUCCACCACACCUACAAUGUUUUGUCCCAGCUUCAGCUUACUCUAAGCUCAAUGAGUCAGAGAGUGUGGUUGUCCUGGGCAACCUGAACCAAUCCUGUACUAACGUAGACUCAGAGAUUUCUUCUGCACUGCCAUCGAAUAUCCAAAUUCGUCCUGGAUCAAAGUCCGGGAUCAAUCACGGCCCUGGGCCCGCAGGUCACAAGUCUGAACACUGGACAGAUCACUAAAACCCCGCCCAGUGUGAUUUUACAAUCCCUGAGUACUCUGAGUAGUGUUUCUGGAUGGAACUUGGGACAGUCCUUGUCCAUCAUACAGAUUCCUCAUCACCCAAAACUUCCAGUUGAUUCACUUCUUAAUAGGUUUAUUGCUAGUGGCCUAUUGGUUGUGAGCAUCAUUCACAACCAUGAUUCAUGCUUUAAACCAUUCCAUCCUCUCUACUUCCAAUGUAGAGGAUAUUUCAUAAUUUAAUGUUCUCUUUCUUCAGAUAAACAACACCGACAGUCUAAUAAACCUGGGCUCUUUAGUGGGAGGUCUUCCAACCCAAACACUCACCGCAAUACCCGAGCAGCAGGUUCUGACAACAUCCGCCUACCCAAAAUGUGUUACCAACAUGCUGACUGCUCCAACAAUUGUGCAGCAGAUCUAUGUUAAUAAGAUCAUCAGUCGACAUGAAACCAACGGAACUGAUAGUCAAUGUCCCAGAUGAAAUGGCAACCGACAUUCCCAGCAAUCUACUGAAUUUCCCAACAACUGGAAAUCAAACUCACUGCUCUGAACAUCAACAAGAAAAAAUGGAGACCUCAGCAGGCUGUGCUGUUCUUUGAUACAGUAGCAAAUGGGUUGGAUGAGCCUGAUGACCUUUCUGAGUACGUGCUUCAAGGAUUCAUUUGCUCUCGUGUCCAGACUUUCACCAAAACAAGAAUUAAACCUCUCAUCAGAGCUUGCAGACGUAGAGCCGGUCGAAGAAAGGUGGUUCUCAAGGAGACACCGCUACACCAACAUGCAACAGACCGACUGCAGAUCCUACUUCAUUGAAACAGGAUGAGCAGACUUCUCCGCCCUGUCCAGCACGUUGGAUGGAAGAAAGGUUGAUCUACUGAACAAAUUUCAAAAAGUGCCUGAACAUCAAAGGGACACAGCUCAGUCGAGAUAAUGUCGAGGUACUGGGCAACAUGGCAUGUGCUCUGGAUGAAGACUACAUUCAGAGCGCUGACUCUUACAUCCUGGAGAAACUAAAGAACUGCAAUGACUUCUCCGAUCAGCAGAUUACAGCUAUGGAGACUGUUAUCUGCAGUGGCAACACCACAUAUGGUGGAAUAGAAGCAAGUUCCUGAAGAAAUUCAUGAAAAGACUAUGUACAAACAAGACAAUGAAGAGGAAACUGAAGAAGCUGUUCAAAGAAUGCACCAUGUCUUUGAGAUCCAAACGAAGCACUGGCCAAAGUUAUUGUCACCAAGUUCUUAAGUGCUGGCAAUUCGCUUGGAGCCUCUGAAUUGAAUUCAAUUGGAGGGCCUAACCUGUGCCCACUGGACCUCAGUGUGUUGCAAGGCAUCAGAAAUGACAGUCUCCGAGAUGCAGAUGCUCUGGAAAUCACUAGCUGUUCCUCAGCACAUAAGAAGGCCUUCUUUGCAGUAGCUGAGAUCGCCUUUCCUAUCAACUUCAUCCAAACCUGCGCCACUGCAGAUCAGCUAACAUCCUACCAGACGUAGCUGGGAGGUGCCAUUAUCACCUACAUCCGGAGUCUGUCUAGGGUGAAUAUUAGCAUGGACAUCAACACUUUUAUUGGUUUGGAUUCAGCUGCUGUCCAGGCUCGUAGUGUGAGUGAAGUGUCUGGACUCCUCGGCUCCAACCUAAAUUGACUGAAAACCUUUGAGAAUACCACUGUAAUGCAGAACUGGGUGUCAAAGCAGUUAGUCUGAGCUUGACAAGCUGGGUAUCAGUCUGACCGGAGGAAGGGUGAAUUCAAACACCACCCCAUGACAACAAAUACUGCCACCACCAUCAAAAAUACAACUUCCAGCCAGAGCAGAGGCACAUAUCCAGCUCCUUCUGCUUUUCCUGUUUGGUCUCUUGUUCAUUGCAGUGCAAAUGUAGAUUAUAAUAUUGCAAGAGAAGCAUUAUAAUUUAGACCAAAUUGCAUAAUUAUCAUAUCACGUCUUAAUAUUACAUCUAUUUUUGUAAUCUAUUUUUAAAGAAGACAUUAAAGCUGACGUUAUAUUUAACAGCCAAAUGAGUGCAGUAUGCAAUAAAUAUCCCAUAUAAUAUAUAGUGUUCUAUCA